Molecule: unclassified non-coding RNA, 556 nt
Filed under: Hevea brasiliensis (rubber tree)
Lineage: Eukaryota; Viridiplantae; Streptophyta; Magnoliopsida; Malpighiales; Euphorbiaceae
Source: RNAcentral
UCCCCUCUCUCCAGUAUCCGACAUCAAAAUCAAACUACAAUAAGAAAGCUACAACAAUACAUAGUAGAAAAUGGUGUUGCACAUACUCCAGACAUAUGAACCACGAAAACUAACUCUCAUACCUCAAGUGACAAAGACUGCACUUCUGCCGCUUUGAUUGUGAUUCACUUUCUCAGUUUAUGCCCUCUUGCCAAACCCAAUAGGACACAAAGGAAUCUCAAAUAGGAUAAAUAACCAUUCAGACUAUGCUGGGAGGAUCCCCCACCCAAUUGCAAACAGCACGUGCCCAACGUGUUCUUACGCAGUCUACCAAAGGCGCAUGUUGAGCAGGCUCAGGUUUUGUCACUUCAGUAUCUUUGCCACUUGAUUCAUUUCCCCCAGAACCAGAGGACACUACCACAUCUGCCAUGAAUUCCUCAGGAGUCCACCUAGGUGGAACUGAAACCCUGAGCUUUGUAAGCCUAGGUCUUUGGACUGGCGUCUCACCUCCUAAGGCCAUGUGGCUGCCGUUUAAAUCAGAUUUUGCAAUACCAUUAAAAUGGUAAAGAUCAAACAC